Molecule: long non-coding RNA, 4528 nt
Organism: Rhinolophus ferrumequinum (greater horseshoe bat)
Lineage: Eukaryota; Metazoa; Chordata; Mammalia; Chiroptera; Rhinolophidae
Exons: 3
Source: RefSeq, a predicted model, not a curated record
UAAUAGGAAAUGUAGUCCAAACGGCCGCGGCUGGCGGUAGCUGCCGUCUCAGCGCGGCUCUGGAGCCGGGUGCCUAGUUGGUAUUCUACUGCCUCUGCUCACAGUAAGGACUCAACAAAUAAUCAUUAACCCACUUAGCAACUUGCAGAAUUCUAAGUGUGGAAUUUGCUAAAAGCACUUGGGAAAAUACAGUAGUAGCCAAGUAACCUGCUGCAGGCAAAACGAUGAUAGCUGAUACUUCAUAGCACUUCUAAGCGCCAUUCACUACUGAACACUUGGUAUGUAUCGUUUCAUCCUCACCGCUGCACUGGCUGCACUGUGAAGUGCGCUGGCAGGAUCCCCACAUACAGAUCAGGUAACGGAAGCAUUAAGAGAUGAGUAACUUGCCCAGAUUCACACAGCUGCUGACUGGGGGUGUCAGGGUUUGAUCUCAGCCUGCAGAGUCUGUGCUUUUACCUCUAAGUUGUACUGCACCGUGUAUGUAUAUAAAUCGAUCUUUUAUAUAAGGGUUUUGGUUUGGGGGAGCUGGAAACGGGAGGGAAGGUUUUUGUGUGUUUGCGAGAGUGCUUAGGGAUGAAACGAGAUGAGGUUGAAGGUGGGGGGAUGACGGGCACCUGUUUCUGUGUUUUGAGCCACUUUGUGGUAGGAAGAGUGAGAAGGAGAGGCUGCAGGAGCUGCUUUGUGCAAGAUGGUAAGGCUCUGGGCGUGCUUAGUGGAACAGCAGCAGGCUCACGGCAGAUGGGAGUGUCACAGGCCGCUGGACAGUGGCCAAGAGGUGGAAGCAAAAUGCAAUGAGAGGACUUGUGCCUAAGGACAUGUCAGGUACACUGCAUAGGUCAUCCCGAAAUAACUGGGGGAGACUUCAAAGAAUGCAUCCGAAUUCCCGAAGGAGCAAGCAAGGGCUCAGAGCUGUUGAGGCUGUGUGUUAAUGUUGGGAUUUCAUUUGCACUCAGUUGCUGGUGAGGUCUAGAACAUUGGAGUUUUACGUACGGUGGAAUUAUUAUCUAGCUAUUAUUCAGCCUAGUAUACAUCUGUAUUUAUUGGCAUGGAAAGAGCUGCACAGUCUAGUGGUAAGUGACAGAAGUAGAUCACAAGCCGAGCAGAGCAGGAGUCCCCAGUGCUGUUCAGGGAUCCCAGCUCUGUGUGCAAAGGGGAAAUCUACUCAGCUGGCCUGUUGUGUUCAAGUGGUCGGCUCGCUGAGUUCCAUUCACUGACAGGUGUCUGAAACCCACAGUAACAGAAAACAAGAGUCUCCGGAACAUGGAGGUUAAUUUCUUAACCUGGAAAGGAAUCUUUAAUUGUAUUAAUAAGAACACAAAGGAGGGCAGGUGUAUCCCAAGCAGUUGCCUGUUUUCAUUGGGAGCAGUGGCAUCAGUGACAUCUGUGUGGCAGGCACUGUUAGUUGCCAGCCCUGCAGCUGUUCUUCCUCCAGAUCACAGACAGAACAGAACGUAAGUGGGCAGCCGUGUGCUUCAGGGGAGGCAAGUCCCUCCCCGGCCCUAAGGGGCGAAUCUUGAUUAGUCUGCACCAGACUCAUAGGGUAAAUCUAUUCCCUUUGCCUGUAAUUGUUUCAGGAAAAGGUCUGCAGGCAGGUCUGCCAAGUUUAGGGAAGUUUUCCUGUUCUUCAAAACAAUCCUCUCUUCUGGCUUUGGGACCUCGUGAAGAUGUGAUGCUUGAGACUCAGCAGCCAUCUUGCAUCCAUGAGUUGCUUCAAAGCAAGCACUGAAGGUCUGUGACGGCAGAGUGGAAAGAAAGAACAUGAGUCCUUGAUGAUGCUUUUGAACUGCUGAAAUAAUCAGUGCUGAAGCCCCCUGCCUCAGACCUUUUGUUUCGAUUCAGACACAUAUUUUCACAUUUUAGCAGCUAAUGCAUAUUAAGUGUAUGCUCCUGGCCAGGCAAUUUCUAAGUACCUUUUGGUUUUUUUUUUUGAAACCACUUUAUUGAGAUCUGCUUGACAUACAAAAAGCUGCGCAUAUUUCAUGUAUACACUUGAUGGCUUUAAACCUUUCUGUACUAUCUCAUUUGACUCUCACAACAGCCCUGUUGUUCUCCCCCGAGGGAGCCAAAGUGCAGAAAGGGGGAAGUAUUAGGUGCAAACAUAUUGGUGCAAAAGUAACUGUUGUUUUUGCCAUUAUUUUUAACCUUUUAAACCUCAUUUACUUUUGCACCAACCUGAUAAUUACUAAGUGGAAGCAUUGAGAUCUCAACUCAGGCAAGCCAGCCUCAAAACCCAUGGUGUUAACCACUGUGCUGGGUUCCCUGACAAAAAUAUGCUGUGAGGGUAGAACAUGUUUUGCUAAUGGAGUUUUUACAAAUAAGUGAAUUUGAAGACUAUGUAAUAUUCUGUCGACCUCUUCUGCUAUUUUCUAGACCCGUCUCGGUUCCCAGAAAACCCUGCCUUCUCACAACUGUUGAUAGCCUUGGCUCAUGCUGUCUGUUCCCUUUGCCUUGAAAUUUCCUUCCGCUUGUCCUCUUGUUGCUCAGCAGACCCCCACUCACACUUCGGUACCUCCUCUGAAGUCUUACCUGGGACGCAGAGGUGGUCUCUGAGUUCAUCCUCAAGGAACAGGCACAACCAGGCAUGUUCUGCAGGCAGGCCCAGCUCUGCUGGUUUUAGCCAAGUAAAGUUGGGCAAAUGACUACCCCUCUAUCUAAGCCUCCCUUUCUUGUCUGUAACAUAAGGACGGUGGUAUCCGAAACUCUCAGGACUGUCAGGCUUAUGCCUGCAAAACGCCUAGCAUGGGCCACCAGAAGGCGAGCACGUGAUAAACAGAGUGCUCGUUAUUUGACCGUACUUCUUUGAAUACUCACUGUUUUAUGAUGACCUGUUUUCAUGUCUGGCUUUUCCGCUAGCCCAUGAGCAAGACAAGGAUCAGGUCUUCAUUAGUGUUUGUUUGUUUUUAACUCUUUAUGUCACCUUUAUUGAGGUAUAAUAUAUACUAAAGCACAUCCAUUGAAAAUGUACUGUUCAAUAGUCUAAUACCUGGAUCCACCCCUGUGACCACAACCUGUCAUGAUUUAGAAUUUGUCAUCACUCCCAAGAGCACCUUCAUACCGUUUUACAGUCAGUCUCUGUAACCAACCCUGGCCCCAGGCAAACACCCAUCUGCUUUCUAUCACUAUAGAUUACUUUGGCCUGUUCUAGAAUUUCAUAUAAAUGGAUUCAUACAGUAGGUACUCUUCUGUGUCUGGCUUCUCUCAAUUACCCGUGUUGUGGCUUACAUCAGUAGUUCAUUUCCUUUUUAUUGCUGACUAUUAUUCCAUUGUAUGAAUAUGUCACAAUUUGUUUAGCCAUUCACAUGUUGAUGGAUACUUGGGUUGUUUCCAGUUUGGAGCUAUUACUAAUAAAGCUGCUGUGAACAUUUUGGUACAAAUCUUUUUGUGGACAUAUGUUUCCAUUCCUCAUGGAUAAAUUCAUAAGAAACUGCCAAACUGGUUUGCCAAGCAGACGUCACUCUGUAAGCAACCCCAGCAACCUAUUACACGUUACAGUUGCUCCACACACUUGCCAACACCUAUGGUGGUCAGUUUAAUAUGACCCCUUCCGGGGGGUGUAUAGUAGUAUCGCGUGGUUUUGAUUUGCAUUUCCCUGAUGACUUACCAUGUUCAGCAUCUUUCUAUGUUUUUAUUGAGCACAUGUAUACAUUUUUGGUGAAGUGUGUCUAUUAAAACCCUCCCCUUUUUUAUGGGUUGUCUUCUUGAUAUCAAGUUGUUAAAAUUCUUUAUAUAUUUUGGAUACUGAUCCUUUCUCAGGUCUUUGCUUGGCAGAUAUUUCCUCCCAGUCCCUUUCCAAGAAUUUUGAUCAAGUCCAAUUAAGCCAUUUUUCUUUUAUGGUGAGUGCUUUUUGUAUUCUAUUGAGAGGCCUCCCCUUUUUCCAUGGAAUCACCUUCAUUGCACCCGUUUCUGGAUCCCAUUGAUCUCUGUGUAAAUCCUAGGCGCACCACGCUGUCUGAGCUCUGAUCUCGUUUCCUCACCUGGGCGACAUCACUGUGGUCUGCUCGGGUCCCUCUCCCCACGCCCCAGGCAGGAACUGUCUGAGGCAGACGCUGAGGCAGUCAGGGGUCACUGUCCUGUGUGCUGCCUAUUGUCAAGGGUCUGUUUCUUGUAUUUUGCGCCGUUUUCUGGUCAUUUGUGGCAGGAAGUCUUCAUUCAUUUUGUCUCCACAGUGGCUGCUGGCACACGGUCACCACCAAAUGUUUGUUGAGUGGCGAGUCUUUGCUAGCACCUCCAGACACAGUCCAUUUUAGCCUCUUUGGAGUGGGGAGAAUCUGGGAGGCCCCCAGAGGCCUGUCCCCUUCAUUCUACUAGACAGUUCUUUUCCUGAAGAUGGUCAUUAUGUCCUCGGCACCGGCCCACCUGGCUUCAACACAUGCUUAUUACAUGGGCAAAUUAAGGUCCAGAGAAGGAAAGGUCACAUGGCAGCCGCUCACCUGGCAGAACUGUGCUUCCUCGGCAGGGAUCUUUCCAUUGUACUAACUGGCACUCUUUCAUUGCUGUAUCACUCCUAACACACUCCUUACAAUGCACA